ACGAACGCUGGCGGCGUGCCUAAUACAUGCAAGUUGAGCGCUGAAGGUUGGUACUUGUACCGACUGGAUGAGCAGCGAACGGGUGAGUAACGCGUGGGGAAUCUGCCUUUGAGCGGGGGACAACAUUUGGAAACGAAUGCUAAUACCGCAUAAAAACUUUAAACACAAGUUUUAAGUUUGAAAGAUGCAAUUGCAUCACUCAAAGAUGAUCCCGCGUUGUAUUAGCUAGUUGGUGAGGUAAAGGCUCACCAAGGCGAUGAUACAUAGCCGACCUGAGAGGGUGAUCGGCCACAUUGGGACUGAGACACGGCCCAAACUCCUACGGGAGGCAGCAGUAGGGAAUCUUCGGCAAUGGACGAAAGGCUGACCGAGCAACGCCGCGGGAGUGAAGAAGGUUUUCGGAUCGUAAAACUCUGUUGGUAGAGAAGAACGUUGGUGAGAGUGGAAAGCUCAUCAAGUGACGGUAACUACCCAGAAAGGGACGGCUAACUACGUG
RNAcentral lists this ribosomal RNA (496 nucleotides) under uncultured bacterium. Its description in RNAcentral is "partial 16S ribosomal RNA". It matches the Rfam family "Bacterial small subunit ribosomal RNA", at positions 29 to 507 of the family's 1533-position model. The record is from RNAcentral.